This 1176-nucleotide ribosomal RNA is filed under the name Diderma crustaceum. RNAcentral's name for it is "bacterial SSU rRNA". It matches the Rfam family "Eukaryotic small subunit ribosomal RNA", at positions 40 to 1129 of the family's 1831-position model. The record is from RNAcentral. Lineage: Eukaryota; Evosea; Eumycetozoa; Physariida; Didymiaceae.
UAGAUAGCCAUGCAUGCCUUCGAAUACGAGGAAGCAAUUCUCUCUGAAUCUGCGAACGGCUCCGCAAACCAGUUGUAAACUAUGGCAAGCCCGCUCGUGGUCGUCGCAAGACGGCUGCUGGCUACACGGAUAACCCUGGUAAUUCUGAGGCUAAUACGAGAACGUAACCCCCAGCCAACCCGCAAGGGAAAGCUGGGGGACGUGCGAGUACGACACGAGGGAAUACCAAGAAAGGGCGCACGUCUUGACCGCGCUACAAAGGACCAGGUGGACGCUUGCUUGCAAGCCGAAGCCUGACCCCAGCGGCUCUUGCAGUGUGCUUCUGACCUAUCAACUAGACGGCAGCGUAACGGACAUGCCAUGGUUACAACGGGUACAGAGGAUUAGGGUUCGAUCCUGGAGAGUGGGCCUGAGAGAUUGCUCAUACUUCUAAGGAAGGCAGCAGGCGCGCAACGUUCCCCUUGGGCAAUGCUUGAGGGCGUUAGGGGACAUAUGAAUGCCUGCCAUCAUGGUGGGCAAUUCAAAUGGGUCUGUUGUAAACAGCCUCUCGAGUAACAAUUAGAGGACAAGUCUGGUGCCAGCACCCGCGGUAAUUCCAGCUCUAAUAGCAUACGUUAAAGUUGUUGCGGUUAAAACGCUCGUAGUCGGCUUCAGAUCAUCAGAUGCCUGAGCUGGGAAGCUGGGUCCGCUGCUCUUCGGAGCGCGCCAGCCGACUGGUGAGGGCGGGCGGUGGUCAAGUGCGCUUCAUGCUGUCUCUCGGGUCACAGGGUUGGGCGUCGUCCGCGGCGCUCGGCUCGGCGUGGGGUGCCACUUACUAUGAUUAAACCAACGUGAUCAAAGCAGGUCGUCAGACCUCUGUAUGGUGUAGCAUAGGAUAAAGUUACCGGUUCGGCUCAUUCGUGGGGGCUGGGCUGGUAGCAGCGAAAGGGGUGUUCGAGGGUGACCGAAUUGCUGGGCGAGUGGUGAAAUACGUUGACCCUAGCAAGUCGACCAAAGGCGAAAGCAGUCAUCAAGGGCACGCCCGUUGAUCAAGAGCGAAAGUUAAGGGUUCGAAGACGAUCAGAUACCGUCGUAGUCUUAACUAUAAAUGAUACUGACCAGGGAUAGGAUACUGUCCAUCUCGACUCUUCCCGGACCUUGGAGAAAUCACGAGUCUUGAGUCUGGGGGAGUAUCGG